CCUACGGGAGGCAGCAGUGGGGGAUAUUGCACAAUGGGGGAAACCCUGAUGCAGCGACGCCGCGUGGGUGAAGAAGCGCCUCGGCGCGUAAAGCCCUGUCAGCAGGGAAGAAAAUGAUGGUACCUGAAGAAGAAGCCCCGGCUAACUACGUGCCAGCAGCCGCGGUAAUACGUAGGGGGCAAGCGUGAUCCGGAUUUACUGGGUGUAAAGGGGGCGCAGACGGCGAUGCAAGCCAGGAGUGAAAGCCCGGGGCCCAACCCCGGGACUGCUCUUGGAACUGCGUGGCUAGAGUGCAGGAGGGGCAGGCGGAAUUCCUGGUGUAGCGGUGAAAUGCGUAGAUAUCAGGAGGAACACCGGUGGCGAAGGCGGCCUGCUGGACUGCAACUGACGUUGAGGCCCGAAAGCGUGGGGAGCAAACAGGAUUAGAUACCCCAGUAGUC
RNAcentral lists this ribosomal RNA (440 nucleotides) under uncultured bacterium. RNAcentral describes it as "partial 16S ribosomal RNA". It matches the Rfam family "Bacterial small subunit ribosomal RNA", at positions 338 to 795 of the family's 1533-position model. The record is from RNAcentral.